GAUGAAGAACGUAGCGAAAUGCGAUAAGUAAUGUGAAUUGCAGAAUUCAGUGAAUCAUCGAAUCUUUGAACGCACAUUGCGCCCGCUGGUAUUCCGGCGGGCAUGCCUGUUCGAGCGUCAUUUCAACCCUCAAGCUCUCCGGAGUUUGGUGUUGGGGCGCCUGGGGCUUUUCGACCUCAAGGCCCUCAAGUCCAUCGGCGGGACCGCCAGGACACUGAGCGCAGUAGUAUUAUUUCGCUCGGUAGGAUCUUCCACGGCGGGUCGAUCUGGCCGCUAAACCCCCCAAUUCUCACCAAAGGUUGACCUCGGAUCAGGUAGGAAUACCCGCUGAACUUAAGCAUAUCAAUAAGCGGAGGA
Molecule: unclassified non-coding RNA, 357 nt
Filed under: soil metagenome
Description: partial contains 5.8S ribosomal RNA, internal transcribed spacer 2, and large subunit ribosomal RNA
Rfam family: 5.8S ribosomal RNA (bases 1-120)
Source: RNAcentral